UACGUAGGGUGCAAACGUUGUUCGGAAUCACUGGGCAUAAAGAGCGCGUAGGCGGUCUGACAAGUCCCCUGUGAAAGCCCCCGGCUUAACCGGGGAACUGCAUGGGAUACUGUUGGGCUAGAGUGCAGGAGGGGAGAGCGGAAUUCCUGGUGGAGCGGUGAAAUGCGUAGAUAUCAGGAGGAACGCCGGCGGCGAAAGCGACUCUCUGGCCUGUAACUGACGCUGAGGCGCGAAAGCUAGGGGAGCAAACAGG
Molecule: ribosomal RNA, 253 nt
Filed under: uncultured bacterium
Lineage: Bacteria
Description: partial 16S ribosomal RNA
Rfam family: Bacterial small subunit ribosomal RNA
Source: RNAcentral